Molecule: ribosomal RNA, 460 nt
Filed under: uncultured bacterium
Lineage: Bacteria
Description: partial 16S ribosomal RNA
Rfam family: Bacterial small subunit ribosomal RNA
Source: RNAcentral
CCUACGGGAGGCAGCAGUGAGGAAUAUUGGUCAAUGGGCGGAAGCCUGAACCAGCCAAGUAGCGUGCAGGAUGACGGCCCUACGGGUUGUAAACUUCUUUUAUACGGGAAUAACGCGCCUUACGUGUAGGGCUUUGCAUGUACCGUAUGAAUAAGGACCGGCUAAUUCCGUGCCAGCAGCCGCGGUAAUACGGAAGGUCCGGGCGUUAUCCGGAUUUAUUGGGUUUAAAGGGAGCGUAGGCCGCAUGUCAAGCGUGCUGUGAAAUUUCGGGGCUCAACCCGGGCCUUGCAGCGCGAACUGGCGUGCUUGAGUCCGCGGAAAGCAGGCGGAAUUCGUGGUGUAGCGGUGAAAUGCUUAGAUAUGACGAAGAACCCCGAUUGCGAAGGCAGCUUGCUGGAGCGGAACUGACGCUGAUGCUCGAAAGCGCGGGUAUCGAACAGGAUUAGAUACCCGGGUAGUC